RNAcentral lists this unclassified non-coding RNA (381 nucleotides) under uncultured fungus. RNAcentral's name for it is "partial contains 5.8S ribosomal RNA and internal transcribed spacer 2". The stretch from base 1 to 133 matches the Rfam family "5.8S ribosomal RNA", at positions 22 to 154 of the family's 154-position model. The record is from RNAcentral. Lineage: Eukaryota; Fungi.
UGGCUCUCGCAUCGAUGAAGAACGCAGCGAAAUGCGAUAAGUAAUGUGAAUUGCAGAAUUCAGUGAAUCAUCGAAUCUUUGAACGCACCUUGCGCUCCUUGGUAUUCCGAGGAGCAUGCCUGUUUGAGUGUCUUGAACUCAUCAACCCUCCCCGUUUCCUGUGCGGUGGGCCGGUUGGAGCUGGGGGCCUGCGGCCGCGAGGCCGCUCCCCUCAAAUGAUUCGGUCGGGCCUGUGGGUCGGACUCGGUCGGGCGUUGUACCAUCCUCGCUCUUUUCUCCGAGACGCUCCCCGUUUGUAAGAGCCCUUCCAUGGCUGCCUGUGGAGCGGUGGCCAAGCAAUCUUUGAAAUCUGACCUCAAAUCAGGUAGGACUACCCGCUGA